CCUACGGGCGGCUGCAGUGGGGAAUAUUGCACAAUGGGCGCAAGCCUGAUGCAGCCAUGCCGCGUGUGUGAAGAAGGCCUUCGGGUUGUAAAGCACUUUCAGCGGGGAGGAAGGCGGUGAGGUUAAUAACCUCAUCGAUUGACGUUACCCGCAGAAGAAGCACCGGCUAACUCCGUGCCAGCAGCCGCGGUAAUACGGAGGGUGCAAGCGUUAAUCGGAAUUACUGGGCGUAAAGCGCACGCAGGCGGUCUGUCAAGUCGGAUGUGAAAUCCCCGGGCUCAACCUGGGAACUGCAUUCGAAACUGGCAGGCUAGAGUCUUGUAGAGGGGGGUAGAAUUCCAGGUGUAGCGGUGAAAUGCGUAGAGAUCUGGAGGAAUACCGGUGGCGAAGGCGGCCCCCUGGACAAAGACUGACGCUCAGGUGCGGAAGCGUGGGGAGCAAACAGGAUUAGAUACCCGAGUAGUC
RNAcentral lists this ribosomal RNA (465 nucleotides) under uncultured Klebsiella sp. RNAcentral's name for it is "bacterial SSU rRNA". It matches the Rfam family "Bacterial small subunit ribosomal RNA", at positions 338 to 795 of the family's 1533-position model. Lineage: Bacteria; Pseudomonadati; Pseudomonadota; Gammaproteobacteria; Enterobacterales; Enterobacteriaceae. The record is from RNAcentral.